AUGAAACUGUUAACCAAUUACAUUGGAGAACAUCUCCAUAGAUUUAACGAGAAGUCUCAAGCAGAAAGGUGUUUACUUGAUAUAUGCACAGAUAAAAUCCUGGAAACAAUUUCUGUUAAACAGAGUUACCAAGAAGAACUAAGUGCAGUAGAUUUUCGAGAAUAUUUCCAAUUAAUGAAAAGGUUCAAGAACAAUGAGAUUAAUCUGUAA
Non-coding RNA from Vicia faba (fava bean), 210 nucleotides. The record is from the annotation of a GenBank genome assembly. NCBI's taxonomy places the organism in Eukaryota, Viridiplantae, Streptophyta, Magnoliopsida, Fabales, Fabaceae.